CCCUUAAAUAGCGGUAGGCGGGCGCUGAGCGCUCUCUCGGCCUUAGCGCCAUCUUCUUAGGAACCUCUGCGCCAUGAGAGCCAAGUGGAGGAAGAAGCGAAUGCGCAGGCUGAAGCGCAAAAGAAGAAAGAUGAGGCAGAGGUCCAAGUAAACCGCAAGCUUGUGCGCCGGGAAAGCCACAGGAGAAGAGGGAAGCCAGAGGCCAGGGGGCCGGUCCAAGCUGUCGGACUGCGUGCCGGCUGUCUAGAACGUCUCCGUGGGAUCUGGAACAUUCAUACGGGCCAUCUGAACGCCGCGGCCGCCUUUUGAGACCCACCCUGCUCUUACAAAAACAGUCUAUCUCUUGGAUCUUUGCCCUGGACCCGUGACAUUCUGGACUGAUUCUGUUCUCAGUUGUGGCUGAAUGUAAC
Eptesicus fuscus (big brown bat) is the source of this 410-nucleotide RNA transcript. RefSeq lists it as uncharacterized. The transcript has 4 exons. Lineage: Eukaryota; Metazoa; Chordata; Mammalia; Chiroptera; Vespertilionidae. The record is from RefSeq and is a predicted model, not a curated record.